RNAcentral lists this long non-coding RNA (345 nucleotides) under Actinidia chinensis (golden kiwifruit). RNAcentral's name for it is "long non-coding RNA (ACHI_LNC001498)". Lineage: Eukaryota; Viridiplantae; Streptophyta; Magnoliopsida; Ericales; Actinidiaceae. The record is from RNAcentral.
AGCUACGAUCUCCAUAGGCCCAACACCCUAAGGCUCGUCUGGGUCCUUGUUCCGAGUCUUGUUCAGAAUCCUCCUCUGGUUCCUCCUCAUACCUUAGUCACUAAAUGUGUUGUGGAUGUUCAUCCCGGCUUGUGUGUGGGUAGGAAGCAAAUGACCCCUAGCCGGUGAAGAAACCGCCUAAAUUUCGGAAGAAUAACAUUCCGGCAUCCGGUGACGAAAAGGUACCGGUGGUAUGGUAAAACUCGGGUUCUUGGCUUCCUCCAUUAAACUCGAAAACUUUUUCUCACUUGCUUUGCUUGGACUCAUAUUAUGCUUGUUCUCAAGCCGCACAGCGAACAACUUUUU